Molecule: ribosomal RNA, 253 nt
Filed under: uncultured bacterium
Lineage: Bacteria
Description: partial 16S ribosomal RNA
Rfam family: Bacterial small subunit ribosomal RNA
Source: RNAcentral
UACGUAGGUGGCAAGCGUUGUCCGGAUUUACUGGGCGUAAAGCGCGCGCAGGCGGUUUGGUAAGUCUGUGGUGAAAUCUCUCGGCUCAACCGAGAGGGGUCUGCAGAUACUCCCAGACUUGAGUGCCGUAGACGAAGAUGGAAUUCCGGGUGUAGUGGUGAAAUGCGUAGAUAUCCGGAGGAACACCAGUGGCGAAGGCGGUCUUCGAGGCGGUAACUGACGCUGAGGCGCGAAAGCGUGGGGAGCGAACCGG